This 689-nucleotide ribosomal RNA is filed under the name uncultured bacterium. Its description in RNAcentral is "bacterial SSU rRNA". It matches the Rfam family "Bacterial small subunit ribosomal RNA", at positions 301 to 980 of the family's 1533-position model. The record is from RNAcentral.
UAUUCGGCCACAACUUGGAACUUGAGAACCUGGCCAGACUCCUUACGGAGGGCAGCAGUAGGGAAUUUUCCCACAAAUUGACGAAAGUCUGAUGGAGGCAACGCCGCGUGAGGGAAGAACGUUUUCGGAUGUAAAACUCUGUGUGAGAGAUGUUAUCUGAUAGUAACUGAUCAGGUAGUGACGGUAUCAACCAGAAAGCCACGGCUAACUACGUGCCAGCAGCCGCGGUAAUACGUAGGUGGCAAGCGUGUCCGGGAUUUAUUGGGCGUAAAGCGAGCGCAGGCGGUUUUUUAAGUCUGAUGUGAAAGCUUUCGGCUCAACCGAAGAAGUGCAUCGGAAACUGGGAAACUUGAGUGCAGAAGAGGACAGUGGAACUCCAUGUGUAGCGGUGAAAUGCGUAGAUAUAUGGAAGAACACCAGUGGCGAAGGCGGCUGUCUGGUCUGUAACUGACGCUGAGGCUCGAAAGCAUGGGUAGCAAACAGGAUUAGAUACCCUGGUAGUCCAUGCCGUAAACGAUGAGUGCUAGGUGUUGGAGGGUUUCCGCCCUUCAGUGCCGCAGCUAACGCAUUAAGCACUCCGCCUGGGGAGUACGAUCGCAAGAUUGAAACUCAAAGGAAUUGACGGGGGCCCGCACAAGCGGUGGAGCAUGUGGUUUAAUUCGAAGCAACGCGAAGAACCUUACCAGGUC